This 544-nucleotide long non-coding RNA is filed under the name Fukomys damarensis (Damara mole-rat). RNAcentral describes it as "lncRNA (ENSFDAG00000026664.1)". Lineage: Eukaryota; Metazoa; Chordata; Mammalia; Rodentia; Bathyergidae. The record is from RNAcentral.
GGGGAGGGAGAAACUGACAGGCCAGUGUGAGACACUGUGAGCCAACACAUGAUAGCUCACAUUCAUCUAUAGCCUACCUGCCCUCAGAUAUACUCUAAAAUAGGGAAAACGUACAAAAUGAUGUCUUAGAGUAGUUUGCGGAUAGGCACAUGAAAAGAGGGGGAAGGGUGGAGAGACUUGUCAGGAUAGGAGAGGAGAAAGGAGAAAAGACAAUGGCGGGGUGGAACUUCAGUGGACCGUGAGAAAGGGCAGGCGGAGGUUGAGACCCGUUAACGACCUCACAGAAUCGCCAACUUUAAAGACCCUAGAAACAACGCAUAGUAGAUGGAGACUGGUAGUUGUGAAGACCAUGUGUAAAAAUCCCAGGCUGAGAAUAUCUGGAAUGGGAAAUUUCUUGCCCACCUCACAAAACUCAAAGAUGAGGCCUGACCUUUGCAAGGAAGAAAAAUAAAUCUGGAAAUUUAGAAAUUACCUUGAAAGGGACUAAGCUCAAUUUGCUAUUGUUGAAGAAAAAUGCCAGAGCAACAAAACCUCCUGACACCCU